This 216-nucleotide ribosomal RNA is filed under the name Campeiostachys nutans. RNAcentral's name for it is "Elymus nutans partial small subunit ribosomal RNA". The stretch from base 38 to 216 matches the Rfam family "Eukaryotic small subunit ribosomal RNA", at positions 684 to 864 of the family's 1831-position model. The record is from RNAcentral. Lineage: Eukaryota; Viridiplantae; Streptophyta; Magnoliopsida; Poales; Poaceae.
GGGUCAGUAGGUCGGUCGUGCCACUGGUAUGAACUGGUUUUACUGAUUCCUCCCUCUUGAAGAACUGUAAUGCCAUUAAUUUGGUGUUGCAGGGAAUCAGGACUGUUACUUUGAAAAAAUUAGAGUGUUUAAAGCAGGCUUUAGCUUGAAUACAUUAGCAUGGAAUAAUGAAAUAGGACGUUUGAUCCUAUUUUGUUGGUUUCUAGGAUUGACGUA